Ictalurus punctatus (channel catfish) is the source of this 3021-nucleotide long non-coding RNA. NCBI's taxonomy places the organism in Eukaryota, Metazoa, Chordata, Actinopteri, Siluriformes, Ictaluridae. The record is from Ensembl.
GCCAGGAAAAAGUUUUUUUAAGACUACAGUUUGCCCAAGAGCAUCUAGGGAAAGACCAGGCCUUUUGGAAUAACGUGCUCUGGACGGACGAAUCAAAAGUGAGAUUUAGAUCUGCGAUGGAUCGGCACCCUGUCCAGGGUGGACCCCGUCUUGUGCCCGAUGCGCCCUGGGAUAGGCUCCGGGUUCCCCGUGACCCUGAAGGAAGGAUAAGCGGUAUAGAAGACGGACGGAUGGGUAAUAUUUAGGACGGACUGUCGCUGAAUUAGGACGCAGAAUUAGGCUUCAAAAACGCACGAAGGGAGGAAAUGGCAGCAUGGUGAGCACUCAUACUGUAUACAGUCAUUGGGUACGAUGUUCACGCUAAAGAGUUUGUUAAUAAGCAUGCUGUUUGUAAAUUUCAUGAAUUAGUGGGAAUGGAUUAAUGAUCACCAAAUUAGUUUGAACUAAAACACACAUCUAAACACACACAUUUAAACGAGACAGGGUGUUGAAUUGUAAUCCAAUCUGCACGCUAUUAUCUGUGUGUGCGUGUGUGCAAGUGUGUGUGUGUGUGUGUGUGUGUUUGAGUCGUGCUGAAUCCUGCCAGAUCCUCCGAGGAGCUUUAAUCUGAGCCAAAUCCAAACAGAGCUGUCAUCACCUCGCUUCAGCAAAGCUGGGCAGAACCACCUGCUGCUCAGCACUUCCCGCCAGUGCCUGUGUGUGUGUGUGUGUGUGUGUGUGUGUGCGUGUGUGUGUGGGAAGGCUGAACGAACCUGAACGUUCUCCAAAUGAAAGGUCCAACUGUGUAGUUGCCAUGCAGAAAGGAAAGAAGCACUCAUCUAAUAAACACCCGCUGGUCCUGACCAAAUCCAAUAAAGUCCGGAACACAUAAACACACACACACACACACACACACACACACACACACACACACACACACACACAGUGAGAGAAGCGAACGUGGUUCCUUAGCAACUCUAAAAAGCUGACAGGAUUGAUGCUAUUUGUGGACGGUCUUUUAAUCACACUUUUUCUCCGGAAACUUCUACGGUAUAAAUUCUGAAUAAAAUUCUGAGAUGUGACAGUAAUAUCAGUCUUUCAGCUUUCGUUUCCUGAUAGUCACAUCAAGACGUGUCAAACAACUUAGAACAUGACACCUUUUGUGUUUGAACCCACUCUUCUGCUGUUUUCUCAAGUGAUCAAAAAUAUCGGAACACGUGACUGAUCGGUGUUUGCUGCUGCCCAGGUGGGACUUUUUAAAUCGAUCGUUUGGAGAAUGAACAGCUCUGAACGUCUAAUCUCGGUUUGAGUCCCGGGUUUUUGCCUGUGAAGACUGUAAUUCCUGUUUAAAAAGGAUAAACCGACAUGAAGAUCAGAGAGCUGUCCAUGGGAGAAAAGCAAGCCGAGACAAAUCAGUCAGAGGAAUUGCACAAACCUUAGGCCUAGCCAAUACAGCGAUUUGUCCCGAAAAAGAAAGAAACCACCGGUGUACUGGGUCGGCCAUUGUGGGAGCUGGGAAGAAAAACCCAAAAACAAUCAUCAGUGACAUCACCAACAACCUCCACAGGGCAGGGGUGAAGGUAUCACAACCCACCCUCCGAAGAAGACUUCGAGAGCAGAAAUACAGAGGCCGUAACACAAGAUCCAAACGGCUCAUCAGCGGUAAGAAUCGGAAAGCCCGAUCGGAAUUCACGAAGACGUACAGAGACGAGCCGCAAGAAGUUCUGGAACCGACAUGAACCUUCACCAAAGCGAUGGAAAGACCAAAGUGCGGAGAAAGAAAAGAUCUGCUCACGAGCUGAUCUGUGAAACAUGGUGGAGGUAGCGUCGUGGCUUCUGGAACAUUCUCACGCAUCUUUAUUGAUGACGGAACUCAUGAUGGAAGCAGCAGAACGAACCGGGUUUUAGACCGGCCAAGUCAGUCACCAGACCUUAACCCAGUGGACUGAAGGGAGAACUUUUCCUUUUCAUCUUUUUAUUCGACUCGACUUCUUUUUUUUUCCUCUCAUUUCUCUCUGCUUCUCCACUGCACUCGUCUUUUAUUCCUCUUCUCUUCUCCUGAACCUUUGAUCUUUUCUCUUUAACUCUCACUUUUCAUUUCUCAUCUCUGUUCUUAUGUUCUUUCUUUUUAUUGUCUUCUCUAAUCCAUUUUCAAAAUGAGCGCUUAUCUCGCCUUUCUGCUCUUCUCCUCUCUCACCUUUUGUUUUUUUUUUCUCUUCUCUUCCCUUCUCCCGUCCCUGCCCACCUCUUUCCUUUCUAUUUUCCUCUUUUCUCUCACCGUUUAGUCUGCUUCUCUUUCACCUCAACUCUCCUCUCCUCAUUUUUCCUUUAUUUCUCACCUUUCUCUCAUUCAUUCUUUCUCUCAUUAAGUCCCUUUCUCUUGUCCUUGUUUAUCGCCUUUAUCGUUCUUUUUCUCUUUUGCAUCUCUGUAUUCUCUCCUUUCCUCUUCUCCACUCUCACAUUCCGUAUUUUUCUGUUUUCCUUCUCUCUCGUGUCACCUGAACUCUCGCCUUUCUUUCUUUCUUUGUCUUUUUUUCUUCUCUUUCCUCUCCUGUUCUCCACUCCUCCACCUCUAAUCUUUCUUGUUAAACUUCCAUUUUUGUUUUUUUUUUGGUUUUUUUUCCCUCUCAUUUCCUUUCUUUUUCUUAGCUUUAUUAGUCUCUUUCUUUCCCUGUUUCCACUCCACUCCUCCACCUUUCCGUUCUUCACUCUUCUGUCAUUUUUGGUCUUUUACAUCUCUCCUCUCUCCUGAUGUCUACUCUUUAGUCUCUCUUCUUCCGUUUUCUUUCGUUUAUCUUCUCUCUUUUUCCCCCCCAUUUCUUCCCUCAUCACUUUAUUCUCCUCAUUUCUCAGAUGUUUUCUUUAUUCUUCUCUCCUAUAGUCAGUUUCUUUCUUUCUUUUUCGUUUGUUUACCUCGCCUGUUUCCUCUUCUUUCGAUCCUCAUUUUAUUCUCCUCAUUUCUCUGAUUUUAUUUAUUUUUAUUUUCUUCUCUAUGCAAACUCCAUCAGCGUCUUUUUCCUCUUUCCCCCAUCUCUCUCUCCC